RNAcentral lists this small RNA (758 nucleotides) under Plerogyra sinuosa. RNAcentral's name for it is "eukaryotic LSU rRNA". The stretch from base 379 to 532 matches the Rfam family "5.8S ribosomal RNA". The record is from RNAcentral. Lineage: Eukaryota; Metazoa; Cnidaria; Anthozoa; Scleractinia; Caryophylliidae.
UUAGUGAGGCCUCCUGACUGGCGCCGAUGCUCUGGCGACAGAGCGCCGGAUGCCGGAAAGUUGGUCAAACUUGAUCAUUUAGAGGAAGUAAAAGUCGUAACAAGGUUUCCGUAGGUGAACCUGCGGAAGGAUCAUUACCGAUGCAGUCCGACAACUCCGUUGUUUACCUUGUGAACUGUACCUAACUCUUAGGGGUCGGCAAGUCCGUUAAAUGGCGGUCGUACGUGUCUGUCCGUCUCGAGAGAGGAUUGCGGACGGACGCGGACGCUCUGCCAGCCCCGACCGUGUUUUUAACACGAACGAAGGUGGGCUUUACUGUACGUCUGAUCUGGGUGGCCACUCCGUGCGUCACCGCGAGAGAGAGCAAAAACGAGAUACAACUUUUGACGGUGGAUCUCUUGGCUCACGCAUCGAUGAAGAACGCAGCCAGCUGCGAUAAGUAGUGUGAAUUGCAGAAUUCAGUGAAUCAUCGAAUCUUUGAACGCAAAUGGCGCUCUUGGGUUCUCCCAGGAGCAUGUCUGUCUGAGUGUCGGAUAUCAUCCAUCGCACCCGGCGGUGCGGCGUUGAGGCGUCACGGCCGGACGGUUUACCGUGCCGUGUCCCUUGAAGGCAAGAGAGACCCGCGUGGCUCGGGCCGGUCCCCGGCAGACACGAUCGCGGAGGCUAAAAGCUGUUUUGCCCUUCGCGUGCCGGUGCGACUGGCCGUACCAGGGUCGGUCGGUCGGACGAGGCGAACGCUAAAGACUCUGACCUCAGAU